RNAcentral lists this transfer RNA (69 nucleotides) under Marmota monax (woodchuck). Its description in RNAcentral is "tRNA.Ala". The record is from RNAcentral. Lineage: Eukaryota; Metazoa; Chordata; Mammalia; Rodentia; Sciuridae.
GGAAUGUGGCUCAAGCGGUAACGUGCUCGCCUGGCAUGCGUGGGGCUCUGGGUUCGAUCCUCAGCACCA